Molecule: long non-coding RNA, 1442 nt
Filed under: Callithrix jacchus (white-tufted-ear marmoset)
Lineage: Eukaryota; Metazoa; Chordata; Mammalia; Primates; Cebidae
Description: lncRNA (ENSCJAG00000074535.1)
Source: RNAcentral
AUUAGAAUGAAAAUCAUAGGGGAGUUUCAUUCCUUGCAAUGCUUAAUUCAAUAUAAUUGUUUUCUUGCUUACAUUAGUGACCAUAUCAAAGCAUGGUGUACACCUCUUGCCGCAUUAAGAGUAUUUCCCUAUGGGCAGCAACAUUUUCCUCUCCUUCUCUGGAUAUUAGGAACAAUAUUCCAGGACCAGAGUACAGCCCCAGUCACGUCGUGGUGACCAUAUCACAGCACGGUGUACUCCUCUUGCUGUAUUCAGAGGAUUUGCCUAUGGGCAGAAACAUUCUCCACUCCUUCUCUGGAUAUUAGAAACAAUAUCACAGGACCGGUAAACAGCCGCAGUCAUAUCGUGAGUAAUGUCAUCUGUAAUCCCCUAGUUAUUAAAAACAACAUCACGGGGGUCUUGGCGCUUUAUGAGAUACUUAGAGUAAUAUUAGAAUUUCGGUAUUUUACAUGAGAGAGCAUAUUGAGUUGGUUUAUAUACUCCAACACAGAGUAGAAAAGGGCAUUGUAUAUUUUUUCUGACAGAUUAUACUCAGAGAAAUUUUGCUGUUAACAUUGGGGUACCUAGAUAAUAUUGAGAUUUUUUUCUAUUCGCGGAAAAUUAGAAUUAUGGUAUUUUACAUGAGAGAGCAUAUUGAGUUGGAGUAUGUACACCAAAACAGAGUAGAAAAGGGCAUUGUAUAUUUUUUCUGAGAGAUUAUAUUAUGAGCAAUUUUGCUUUUAACAUUGGGGAACCUAGAUACUAUUUAGAUUUUUUUCUAUUCUGGUAUAAAUAGAAUUUCAAUAUUUUACAUGAGAGAGCAUAUUGAGUUGGUGUAUAUACUCCAAAAAAAAGUAGAAAUAGUCAUUGUAUAUAUUUUCUGAUAGAUUACAUUCAGAGAAAUUUUCCUUUUAACAUUGGGGUACCUAGAUAAUAUUUAGAUUAUUUUCCACUCGUGUAUAAUAAGAAUUUCGAUAUUUUACAUGAGAGAGCAUAUUGAGUUGAUGUAUAUACCCAAUAACAGAGUAGAAAAAGGCAUUGUAUAUUUUUUCUGACAGAUUAUACUCAGAGAAAUUUUGCUUUUAACAUUGGGGUACCUAGAUACUAUUUAGCUUUUUUUUGAUUCGCGUAUAAUUAGAAUUUCGGUAUUUUAAAUGAGAGAGCAUAUUGAGUUGGUGUAUAUACACCAAAAUAGAGUAGAAAAGGGCAUUGUAUAUUUUAUCUGACAGAUUAUACUCAGAGCAAUUUUGCUUUUAACAUUGGGGUACCUAGAUAAUAUUUAGAUUUUUUUCUAUUCACGUAAAAUUAGAAUUACGGUAUUUUACUGAGAGAGCAUAUUGAGUUGGUGUAUAUACUCCAAAACAGAGUAGAAAAGGGUAUUGUAUAUUUUUUCUGACAGAUUAUACUCAGAGCAAUUUUGCUUUUAACAUUGGUGUACCUAGAUACUAUUUAGAAUUUUUUCU